RNAcentral lists this ribosomal RNA (309 nucleotides) under uncultured bacterium. RNAcentral describes it as "partial 16S ribosomal RNA". It matches the Rfam family "Bacterial small subunit ribosomal RNA", at positions 504 to 808 of the family's 1533-position model. The record is from RNAcentral.
AGAGACAGCAGUAGCCGCGGGAAUACGGAGGGUGCAAGCGUUAAUCGGAAUUACUGGGCGUAAAGCGCACGCAGGCGGUUUGUUAAGUCAGAUGUGGAAUCCCCGAGCUUAACUUGGGAACUGCAUUUGAAACUGGCAAGCUAGAGUCUUGUAGAGGGGGGUAGAAUUCCAGGUGUAGCGGUGAAAUGCGUAGAGAUCUGGAGGAAUACCGGUGGCGAAGGCGGCCCCCUGGACAAAGACUGACGCUCAGGUGCGAAAGCGUGGGGAGCAAACAGGAUUAGAUACCCAGUAGUCCCUGUCUCUUAUACC